AUUGAACGCUGGCGGCAGGCCUAACACAUGCAAGUCGAACGGUAACAGGAAGCAGCUUGCUGCUUCGCUGACGAGUGGCGGACGGGUGAGUAAUGUCUGGGAAACUGCCUGAUGGAGGGGGAUAACUACUGGAAACGGUAGCUAAUACCGCAUAACGUCGCAAGACCAAAGAGGGGGACCUUAGGGCCUCUUGCCAUCGGAUGUGCCCAGAUGGGAUUAGCUAGUAGGUGGGGUAACGGCUCACCUAGGCGACGAUCCCUAGCUGGUCUGAGAGGAUGACCAGCCACACUGGAACUGAGACACGGUCCAGACUCCUACGGGAGGCAGCAGUGGGGAAUAUUGCACAAUGGGUGCAAGCCUGAUGCAGCCAUGCCGCGUGUAUGAAGAAGGCCUUCGGGUUGUAAAGUACUUUCAGCGGGGAGGAAGGGAGUAAAGUUAAUACCUUUGCUCAUUGACGUUACCCGCAGAAGAAGCGCCGGCUAACUCCGUG
This 490-nucleotide ribosomal RNA is filed under the name uncultured bacterium. Its description in RNAcentral is "partial 16S ribosomal RNA". It matches the Rfam family "Bacterial small subunit ribosomal RNA", at positions 30 to 507 of the family's 1533-position model. The record is from RNAcentral.